AGUGAUAGUCAGGCAUCAAGGGUGUCCUGAUUGGUGAAUUCUUUGGCUAAGAGGAAUCAAGAGGAAAGGAAUAUGGCAAAAGGUCCAGGCAAAUAGGCUGAGGUACUUAAUAGGAGAACCAGGAGUCAUGUAAGAAGGGAGAGGCAAUGUAAAAGUAUAGGAGGCUGAGGCACACUCUGAAGCAGUGGACUAAAAUCACUGAGCUGGCAGCCUAUAGAUAAAAGCCCCAUGGCUCCUACAUUCUGUGGGAGCUUAUUCAAGUCCAUCUUUGCUCCACUUGGCUGAAUCAUCCAUAUUUAAAGGCUGUACUUGCAUCUCCAGCAGCUACAUUCAGCUGGUCGACCUGCUCCUAGUGAACAUGAUAAUCACCAUAAUCCUAGGGGGAAAGAUAUGCAGAAUAGACAAGAAAACAGAAGCACUGCCUCAACAGCCCCUGAAAGCAGUAAGAGUGUCAACACAGGGAAAACAGGCAAUAGCAGACGACAGAACCUCAGCAGACUAGACCACAUGCCACAGCACGAUGCUACAGAAUCAAAUUGAAAUAUUCUUCCAGCUCAUAAUGAAGCAAGUCCCACUGGUCCUCAGAGAAGGGUAACUCAUCUCUCAGUGAAAGAAACCGCUUAAACAACAGACUGGCCAGCCGAAGCACGACAAGCUCCUUCUUAAUGCUUUUAUAGAGCAUGUUGCCCUCUCCCAUUCGCACAGGCUCCACAAGUUGAUGCCAGUAUGCGCUGAAUGACCCACCACCUGGCCCAGGAGGCUCAUCUCCCCAGCCCUCAGGGUAUUCAUGCUUGUAAAAGCAUGUGUCUCCAAAUGGGCAGUUACCCCUGCCUUCCGCAAAAUACCUGCAGGCCUUGUUGCUCAUUGCCUCCUUGUAUUGCUGAAUAAGUUUCUGCUUCUCUUCCUCCUCCUCCACCCAGAACUCACUGGGAAUGACCAAUUCAGAGGUGACCCUGCACUGUGGGCAAGACUUGACGAUCCUGUUCUCAAACUGUCUGGCACUUCUCCACCUGCGGAUACACCUAAUACAGAAGGAAUGGUUGCAAUUGGAAAGAAUGCCAAAGCGGCGGUCAUUGGGGUUGGCCUUCUCAUAGACAACCUCCAUGCAGAUGCCACACACCUUGUCCAUACCACGCUGCACAGCAAACGAGAGUUCCAUAUCUUUCUCGUGUGCUUCAAUGCAGGCCCUCAUAUGUUCUUCCCUCUGGGCAGCAUCCAUGGGGUGCAAGGUCUGCAGCCCACACAUGUCGCAUAUGUCUCCAUGGAGGUACAUACAGCUCUCCCCACGAAAGCAAACUCCCCUGGAAGCAUAAUAGCAAAACCGCAACCCACUGCCCACAGCCAUCUGCUUCCUCUCAGUCUCUGAGCUCUGUAGAGGAGCCUCGGGGGCAGAUGCAACCCAGCGGCCCCGGUAGGGCUGCCCUGGAACAAACUCAAUGGCAUCCGCCCAGCUUUCUACACCUGCUCCUCCAGCAGCUCCACGGUCUGCAUUGUCUCUCUCGGCUUCAAAGAAACCCCUUUCAGCAGCCGAGCCAAUCACAGGCAAGGAAAGGGAGGAUGCAGCCGGGGGGGCUUCCGCCACUUCCUGAGUCGGGGGCUCGAUGUGCGCAGCCGUGCUAGGGCCUCCACCUGCAGAGGCCCCAGGCGGCGAAACGCCACCCUCAGUGGCCAUCUUCCGACCAGAAAGGUCGUGCGAAUAGCGACAGUUCUCCCCCUCCUUGCACUGCCCAUGUAUAUAAUACCUGCAGAUGAUCUGCUUUGUCCAAAUGCCGCUGCUUCGGCUUGGCAACGGACUGGGCCAGGCUCCUCCUCCUGAGGCUGGGGCAGGCCUCAGGCCUCCUCUGCGGAGGUGGGCAGGGACUGGAGCUACAGGGAAGGGGGCCCAGCCCCUUGCCGCAUGUGGCAGGGCUGAAUCUGGAGCAGCAGAUUCCCCGGAGGGCUCACAGACGGGAAGGUCCGGCCCAGACACACCCUCCCUUGCUGCCUCAGCACCUGCCUGGGCCCCGGCUGCCUCGUGGGCUUCUGAGGGAGCUGCAGGCUCUUCCAUGGCUGCUUUGGCACCCCGAAAUGGUGCCAGAACCUCUCCGGUAUUUUUUCUUUAUGGGCUUGAGGCCCGGAAUGGCGGCCGCGCUCGGAGGCUUCUCUGGGGGAAGUGUGCAUCUCUUUUUCCUUCCCCCCUGCUUUUGGGUCCCUCUGACUGUGUGUUCCUACCUACUUCCGGGCACAGGCAGCAUGGCGGACACUUCCUGUGGGGGCAACGUACGUGCUCUGCCUGGUUUUUACCGCAAUUUUCCAAUCUGACAUAUUUUUUCGUUCACACAGGCGGGGACCAACCCAGCCCCUUUUGUCUGCCUUCUGCCUCUGCUUCGCUGUGUUCCGGCAGUCCCUAAGUCCCUUCUCACACGAUUUCCUCAGGAGAAUGAGGUUUUACUUUAAUCUCUUCUGGUUUCGGUCAUGCACGCUUCGUUGUAUUUUCGUAUCUGUCUGCCUUAAAAAAAAUAUAAUCCUAUAGAUUCUGAAACAUUUCAUCCAUGAAUUAUAUAAAUUCUUUUUUUAUUCACUCCA
Molecule: long non-coding RNA, 2565 nt
Filed under: Homo sapiens (human)
Lineage: Eukaryota; Metazoa; Chordata; Mammalia; Primates; Hominidae
Description: MKRN3 antisense RNA 1
Source: RNAcentral